This 644-nucleotide ribosomal RNA is filed under the name Paraburkholderia sabiae. RNAcentral describes it as "bacterial SSU rRNA". It matches the Rfam family "Bacterial small subunit ribosomal RNA", at positions 344 to 981 of the family's 1533-position model. The record is from RNAcentral. Lineage: Bacteria; Pseudomonadati; Pseudomonadota; Betaproteobacteria; Burkholderiales; Burkholderiaceae.
GGAGGCAGCAGUGGGGAAUUUUGGACAAUGGGGGCAACCCUGAUCCAGCAAUGCCGCGUGUGUGAAGAAGGCCUUCGGGUUGUAAAGCACUUUUGUCCGGAAAGAAAACUUCGUCCCUAAUACGGGUGGAGGAUGACGGUACCGGAAGAAUAAGCACCGGCUAACUACGUGCCAGCAGCCGCGGUAAUACGUAGGGUGCGAGCGUUAAUCGGAAUUACUGGGCGUAAAGCGUGCGCAGGCGGUUCGCUAAGACCGAUGUGAAAUCCCCGGGCUUAACCUGGGAACUGCAUUGGUGACUGGCGGGCUAGAGUAUGGCAGAGGGGGGUAGAAUUCCACGUGUAGCAGUGAAAUGCGUAGAGAUGUGGAGGAAUACCGAUGGCGAAGGCAGCCCCCUGGGCCAAUACUGACGCUCAUGCACGAAAGCGUGGGGAGCAAACAGGAUUAGAUACCCUGGUAGUCCACGCCCUAAACGAUGUCAACUAGUUGUCGGGUCUUCAUUGACUUGGUAACGUAGCUAACGCGUGAAGUUGACCGCCUGGGGAGUACGGUCGCAAGAUUAAAACUCAAAGGAAUUGACGGGGACCCGCACAAGCGGUGGAUGAUGUGGAUUAAUUCGAUGCAACGCGAAAAACCUUACCUACCCU